UAAUUCCUACGGGGCGCAGCAGUAGGGAAUCUUCCACAAUGGACGAAAGUCUGAUGGAGCAACGCCGCGUGAGUGAAGAAGGGUUUCGGCUCGUAAAGCUCUGUUGGUAGUGAAGAAAGAUAGAGGUAGUAACUGGCCUUUAUUUGACGGUAAUUACUUAGAAAGUCACGGCUAACUACGUGCCAGCAGCCGCGGUAAUACGUAGGGGGCAAGCGUUGUCCGGAUUUAUUGGGCGUAAAGCGGG
RNAcentral lists this ribosomal RNA (244 nucleotides) under uncultured bacterium. RNAcentral describes it as "partial 16S ribosomal RNA". It matches the Rfam family "Bacterial small subunit ribosomal RNA", at positions 333 to 569 of the family's 1533-position model. The record is from RNAcentral.